AUUGAACGCUGGCGGCAUGCUUUACACAUGCAAGUCGAACGGUAACAGGCCUUCGGGUGCUGACGAGUGGCGCACGGGUGAGUAAUGCAUCGGAACGUACCCAGAGGUGGGGGAUAACGCAGCGAAAGCUGCGCUAAUACCGCAUGUGAUCUGAGGAUGAAAGCGGGGGACCGAGCAGCAAUGUUUGGCCUCGCGCCUUUGGAGCGGCCGAUGUCGGAUUAGCUAGUUGGUGGGGUAAAGGCCUACCAAGGCGACGAUCCGUAGCUGGUCUGAGAGGACGACCAGCCACACUGGGACUGAGACACGGCCCAGACUCCUACGGGAGGCAGCAGUGGGGAAUUUUGGACAAUGGGCGCAAGCCUGAUCCAGCAAUGCCGCGUGCGGGAAGAAGGCCUUCGGGUUGUAAACCGCUUUUGGCAGGAACGAAACGGUGUCCGCUAAUACCGGGCGCUAAUGACGGUACCUGCAGAAUAAGCACCGGCUAACUACGUG
RNAcentral lists this ribosomal RNA (492 nucleotides) under uncultured bacterium. RNAcentral describes it as "partial 16S ribosomal RNA". It matches the Rfam family "Bacterial small subunit ribosomal RNA", at positions 29 to 507 of the family's 1533-position model. The record is from RNAcentral.